Molecule: long non-coding RNA, 2503 nt
Organism: Phycodurus eques (leafy seadragon)
Lineage: Eukaryota; Metazoa; Chordata; Actinopteri; Syngnathiformes; Syngnathidae
Exons: 2
Source: RefSeq, a predicted model, not a curated record
UAAGGGUACCGGUAAAUGCAGACAGGAGAAUAUGAUGAUGAACAUACAACAACAUUUUACUAAAUGUGAUGUAGAAAAAGUGCCAUAUACAAUGUUGUAAAAAAAAAAAUCAGCAAUCCUCCUUCCCCAACACUGACUUACACACUGUGUAUGUCAUGUGUUACCAAAGAUACAUAAUUUAUUAUCUUUUAAGUUUUAUACGUCGGUUAGCUUAUUUUUACACUUCACAAAUACAACUUCAACAUUGGAGGGUGGUGGUUUAAUGCUGGAACAGAUUAUUUCUGUUUCCACUAUUUUGAAUUUGACAAAUUAAUUUUAAGCACUUGUGUUCCAACAUCAUAGUUUCCACUAUACAAUGGAAAAACAGGAAGUUUUCAUCCAUUGUAUUCUGUAUGGCAGCAUCAAUAGUUGCAUAAAGGAGCGCAGGAAUGACAUACCAUAACUACAUGAACAAGUUUGAAAAUGUUAAGCCAAAACCGAAUUGCAUAAAAAGGAUAGUUUCCUGAAUCUGUCAGAGCCUCACACAUUAUUAAAUCAUGGACAUUUUGUGUUUUCGAACUCCAUCCAUCCAUUUUCUGAGCCGCUUCUCCGCACUAGGGUUGCGGGCGUGCUGGAGCCCAUCCCAGCUAUCAUCGGGCAGGAGGCGGGGUACACCCUGAACUGGUUGCCAGCCAAUCGCAGGGUGUUUUCAAACUAAAUUACUUAAUUUGUAAACAGCAAAUGAAGUAAUUAUAUUGUUCUGGGUUCAAAAUUACUGUAAAAUCCCAGUGAUAACUCUGAAUUGCGGGAAUUAUUUUGAAGUUAUAAAUAACAGGUUUCAGGAGCUGCAGAGCCUUGAUUAUGAAGUUUCUAAUAAUUGUCAUUGUACAUACCUGGUUAAAGAUGUCUUCCCUAAUAGCUUCACAAUCCACCUUGUAUUUACAGAGGAGACAGGAAGCAGUUGCAAAUGACCCUAAAAGUGCCAUUUCAGUUAUUUUAGACUUUUUGAAGAUCUAUAUUUCCCUUCCAAAUAACUAACUUACCGUGACACUGGAUGAUUCGCUGAACUCCGGCCACUUGUUCUAAUGUAUCGAUAUUUUGUGUGUAGUUACGCAGCAGCUUGCCCUGCUUGUCCAUCAUGGAAAUGAACUUGUGACAGGGUGAAGGCUGGAAUUGACCAGGGUAGAUCUCCUGUGACAAAGACAAUGCACUUAGCACUUGCAAGUAAAACUGACACACUAGUUACCACUGCACUGACUUCGCAAGAAUAAACAUACAUGAAGCAAACCUUAGCAAACUUGAAAAACGGCCUUGGGUCUCUUUGGAAGUAUUCAAUGUCAAACAUAGCUUGUGGGUCUGGAAGAUCAGGAAAAUCAACGGCAAGACGGGCAUAAAUUCCAUCUCUGGAGCGAAAAUCUGGUAUGCCACAUGAAACAGAUACCUGAAGGAAGAGCCGAUAAUGUAAACUUAGUGUGGCCAUAAAAUCACAUACGGUACAGUGCCCCUGCAUGAACAGUAAAUCCCUGUAUGUCACGGUUUAGCUUUUGACAUUUUUAGGUGAUAUAUUUUUUAAUUGGUUUAUACAGUAUACAGGAAAGCCCAAAUUUAGUUGCACAGUAAAAGAAUGACAAUAAAGAAGUCGAUCGAAUCGAGCAAUCAAUCUACACUCCAUUAAUGGUCAUCAUUCCUACAGAACAAGAUAGAAUAUGCCUGUGAGUAAUUUAAUGCAUUCUGUAUAUUUGUGUGUUUAUGACUCUGUCUUAAAGUAGCAGUUUAUAAUUAUCGGAAGACCAAUGCUUAUUUCCGUUUAUGGUGUUUCACAUUAUGUCAAGUCAGCAUUAAGCUAGAGGACUUGCCUUAGAAGACAUAAUGCGGUCACUUUUCAUAGAACAUUUGGAAGAUAAAUAUUCAAUGUUUAAUUCUCUUGUUUUAUGUGUCAGGUUCACAGGAAACUUAAACUGGGAGUGAAAAAGACCUUGAAGCAAUCAUGAUUUGCCUCUUAUCUGUGGAACCGUGAGCAAGUCUUUUGUUUGCUCAUAGUGUCUUUAAAAGGGAACUAAACCCCCAUUUUUAAAGCAAGAAUACAUUUUAUGUGCCUGCACUGGAACAACACGAUACUCUGAUUAGUUAUUGCGUUUGUGGGAUAAGAAUUAGACGGAAUAAUUAAUCAACAUAAGGGCGGCGCCACGUUGGACGAAAUGAUUUUCAGCUGCAGACCGAAAGUGACAUUGAAGUGCAAGUAGCAUCUUGUAUGCUAAUACAAGCGGGCUAUUGAACUGUGUAGAGAUUGUUGAGGAUGAUAGAUUUUAUUGUUCGAUCCUGUGUACACCAUGGCUGAGAUGGAAAACAUGCAGAGGAAGGGUAUUGAAGAGCAACAGCGUUGUACAUCAACUUCUUGACGUGAAAGAGAUCUGCAAAAAUAAUUCCAGAUUGCCUCACACCUCAGAGGUUCUGAGAUGUUGAUGAUGAUCUGCCACAGUGUCAUGUCAUCUAAAUCUGGUGGGAGUACAGUCUCAGGCAGCAA